GAGAGAGAGAGGGAGAUUAAAGGUUGCCAAAAGCAAAAAAUCCAAAAAGAGCCAGAAGAAACAUUCCAACCAAAAUAUUAGUCAAAAUGACAACCUAAAAUUCCCAACAGUUAACGUAAAAGGAAGAUUGUCUAUUCUUCCUUGUUUUUCUGUGUAAGAUGAAACAAAAGAUUUUUGCCAAGUGGGAGUGAGCUAAGCGCCUCGCGGGUCCGACUAAGUCAAUACCCGAACCACUAACCCGCCACCUGUUUCAAAUUAGCCGUCCACAGUCUGUUUGUCCACUUGCGGUUCGUUCUUGACUCGAAACCCCUUUUUUCAUCCCUAACCCCCUUUGAUUUCCAAUUCUAUCUGCUAUAUUUUCCUCAUAAUAUGUGUUCAAAAACUAAAACCCAAAAAAAGUUAACUUAGCUAAGUAGCAAGAAUAAUUUCAUUUCCCUUUGAGGCUAUGUUAGUUGAAGCACUGUUUUGAUCCUCUGAAUUGUGCAUGAGAUCAGAUUAUUCACCGUCUCUACUGACUCCACUGUGAGCUUAGCUGUAGGAAGGUUAUUCACCAAAAUUUGGAAUCCAACUGUAAGUAGAGAUCCUUCUCCAUCACCCCCAUCACCAUUUCUUUUUACCAAAGUCCCUUUGCAGAAAUUUGGGCCCCCUUGACCGAUUGAAUCAUAUGGAUGAAUCACAAAUCCUGAUGGCAAGAGAGCCACAUAGGUAGAAUCCCCACCAUUCAUCACCACACUCAUUGACGGUAUGUCAACAGGUGCAUACACUACAAGAGAGCUUGAGGCAUCAUUCCAUGUUUCUUGCAAUAUUAGCAUGCUGUUUUCAUUUGCAUUUGGGCUAACAGCACUUGAACGCAGGAGAGAAACACAAUUCCCACCGCUGUGACCCUUUGAAAUGUGGACCAUUUCCUGCAUCAUCCCACCAUGUGAUAAAAUGUCCCACUCGCUCCUCAGCUGUUCAUCACGCAAGAAGUCAAAUAAUCUCUGCCGCAUAACUGGCAACCAAACAGAAGUUGCAGCACUCAGCACGAUACCAGGUGGUUCGCCAGGGUCAUUAAUAUUCUUUCGGGUCAAAAUCCUCAUAUCUUCACCCACAUUUCCAACUAGAAGCUUAUCCCACUUGCGUAGAGAUGAAGCGCAGACUCCAGAACAGAAGUUAUCCACCAUGCGCUGUGCUAGCUUUACCAUGCUUUUCUUACCACUUAUAUUUAUCACUGUCUGAUCAUCACCAGAAAUGGUUGGCGACGUAAGGAUCAUCACACACUCACAGUACCGCUUUAGGGUGGCAACCCACCUCUGAGCACCAAAGCCCCUUCCAGAACUAAGUACUGAGUGAUAGAGUUGAUGAACUGCACUCUCAUCAUACUCUGAGUGUUCCACCCAGGUAACCUUGGAGCAACCAUUGGGCAUAUCUUGUAUAAUACAGCCUGAAGGAAGUCUCCUGCAAACAACAAAUGGGUGUGAAUUUAAACUUCCUUGGUUUGCAUCAAUAGAAAUAUCAACCACAGCCCAGACGCCCUCUGCAUGCUGCUUGCAGAACCGAAGGAACCUCACUUGACGCACAGGGACAAAAGGUGAAACCACUUGAAACUCUGCGUGCAUCACUUGCAAAGCACCAUUCUUAGUUCCAGCCAUGCCACUCGAAAUUACAUCAACUGUAGAGGCUCUAGCAAUCAGACCCGGAAAUGCUUCUACCCACCGAUUCUACUUUGACAAAAACAGUUACUAAGCUAUUCAAACACUAGAAAUCAAUCAUUGGCACAAGUCAACAUUACGAAAAUUGAUUCAAUUAUAAUAAUAAUUGAAAAAUUUAUAGAUAUACAGAAUAAGUAAAUUGAUUCAGUCAAUGCAAUGAAACCAUCAAAGGAUUACAUGACAAUAGAUUAUAGGUAAACAAAGCUCAUAAAAACUUAAACAUGCCUAUAAUGAUAGAAUUACUAAAAAGUAAAAACAAAUUACAGAUAUCAGAGCCCAGUAGCAAAUUUAUACUUAAAAAUAAAGUCAUUACGAGCUUCAAAAUGGCAUAAAGAGAUAGCAUACCACAUCCAUUAAAGUCUCAACGAGAGCCAAGCUGCUGAUGACUACUGUACCAGUCUCUCUUGUAGCUUCGGUAACAAAGCUGCUGGGUUUCACACCGAUACAAGGGGAAAACAUCCUCAUAUACUCCUCAUAGUUCAGGGCAUCCUUCCCUCCAUCCAAGCUUUUGAUCCAAAGAGGACUAUCAAUCUGAGCUAUUUUAAUCAAUUCAUCCAUAGCUGCCAAUGCAAGCUCUAUAAACAUAGAUCUAUCAUAAGGAACUUCAUUGACCAUAGGACUAGUCAUUGGCUUCAUUAAUGGUAUUGUAAUCCCAUCAUUAUAAUCAAGUCCAAUUGGCAAUGUCGUCUCUAUGUUGCCUAAACCUUCAUAAUCAUACCCAUUUAUCCCAACUGACAGAUCCAACUUGGAAUUUGAGCCAAAAGGAGGGAUAGGACUAGCCGACGAAGAUAGCGGCCUACCUAAGAACUUAUUGGCCAAAGCACAAACACGACCUAAUUCAUCCUUGAGUCGAGCAUUUUCAAUCCUUAAUUGCUGUUGCUCAUAAGAUACCGGACCAGGAACCACAGGGCCACCGCAGCUGUUGCAAAUUGGGUCUGCCAUAUUCUGCUUCAAUAACUCAUUCUCAGCUCGGAGCUUAUCAUUUUCUUGUCUAAGGAUGAUAUUCUCAUGUCGUUCCAAUUGGGUCUUCAUUUGG
Molecule: unclassified non-coding RNA, 2727 nt
Filed under: Hevea brasiliensis (rubber tree)
Lineage: Eukaryota; Viridiplantae; Streptophyta; Magnoliopsida; Malpighiales; Euphorbiaceae
Source: RNAcentral